RNAcentral lists this ribosomal RNA (424 nucleotides) under uncultured prokaryote. RNAcentral describes it as "bacterial SSU rRNA". It matches the Rfam family "Bacterial small subunit ribosomal RNA", at positions 355 to 796 of the family's 1533-position model. The record is from RNAcentral.
UGAGGAAUAUUGCGCAAUGGGGGAAACCCUGACGCAGCAACGCCGCGUGGAGGAUGAAGGCUUCGGUUGUAAACUCCUUUUCUGAGGGAAGAGACAAGGACGGUACCUCAGGAAUAAGUCACGGCUAACUACGUGCCAGCAGCCGCGGUAACACGUAGGUGGCGAGCGUUAUCCGGAUUUAUUGGGCGUAAAGCGCACGCAGGCGGUUAGUUAAGUUUGGCGUGAAAUCUCUUGGCUUAACUGGGAGAGGUCGUCGAAAACUGGCUAACUUGAGGCAAUGAGAGGGGUACAGAAUUCCUGGUGUAGUGGUGGAAUGCGUAGAUAUCAGGAGGAAUACCAGUGGCGAAAGCGGUACCCUGGCAUUGGCCUGACGCUCAGGUGCGAAAGCGUGGGGAGCGAACGGGAUUAGAUACCCCCGUAGUCC